GCGGGUGUAGCUCAGUGGUAGAGCACGACCUUGCCAAGGUCGGGGUCGAGGGUUCGAAUCCCUUCGCCCGCU
Rhodopseudomonas palustris BisB18 is the source of this 72-nucleotide non-coding RNA. NCBI's taxonomy places the organism in Bacteria, Pseudomonadati, Pseudomonadota, Alphaproteobacteria, Hyphomicrobiales, Nitrobacteraceae. The record is from Rfam.